RNAcentral lists this ribosomal RNA (253 nucleotides) under uncultured bacterium. RNAcentral's name for it is "partial 16S ribosomal RNA". It matches the Rfam family "Bacterial small subunit ribosomal RNA", at positions 524 to 776 of the family's 1533-position model. The record is from RNAcentral.
UACGUAGGGGGCAAGCGUUGUCCGGAUUUAUUGGGCGUAAAGAGCGUGUAGGCGGCUAGAUAGGUCCGUUGUGAAAACUCGAGGCUCAACCUCGAGACGUCGAUGGAAACAAUCUGGCUAGAGUCCGGAAGAGGAGAGUGGAAUUCCUAGUGUAGCGGUGGAAUGCGCAGAUAUCAGGAGGAACACCGGUGGCGAAGGCGGGUCUCUGGGCCGAUACUGACACUGAGAAGCGAAAGCGUGGGGAGCGAACAGG